This is a long non-coding RNA of Panicum virgatum (switchgrass), 1505 nucleotides long. RefSeq lists it as uncharacterized. Lineage: Eukaryota; Viridiplantae; Streptophyta; Magnoliopsida; Poales; Poaceae. The transcript has 3 exons. The record is from RefSeq and is a predicted model, not a curated record.
AUAGGCCUCUAUUUUAUAUUUUUGGGCUGGCCCAUAAAAUUUAGGGGCUUGAAAUCCUCUCCGAACUCCAGUCAGCCCGACCAAAUAAUGGCCCCUAAAUCAAUCUGACUAGUGGGACCCAGCUGUCAGCGAAACUCUCUCCCGUCCUCCCUCUGCUCGCGCUCGCGGUUGCGCCGCUGCCGUCCUCCCUCUGCGCCGGCAACCUCGCGCCUCGCCGUCGUCCUCCCUCUCUUCCUCCUGCACCCGACGGAGACCUUCCUCCCGCACCCGCACUGUGUGCUUUCGGUCACCAUCUCUGAACUACCCGCACGACGAGCGCGCCGGUCAGCUCUCGUUCCCCUGGCGAAACCCGGCGCGCGCGCCUUCUUGGGCCGCGCGAAGGGAACCGCCGCAGGCAGCAGCGGCCAGCAAACCAGAUUGGCAACGACUACUGCUAGGGUGCUAGUACCCCGUGCGAGGCUAGCUGAAGAGUGAAGUAGGUCAUCGAUCUACCAGAUCUUCAGCCGCCUCCUCUUGCUCCUGCUCCUUGAUUUUUACUGGUUUUUCAAGAUUGGCGCAAGGGAUUUCAUUUGUUCUCAGCAAAGCAAGGGAUUUAUCUACCAGAAAACUUCUGUAAGUACAAAGGUAAACCAUUAGGGCUAUCUGGUGAAUCAUAGUCAGAAAAAUACUUUUGCUUACCAUAGUCAGAGAUGGCUGAAUUUGGGUUGUCAGUAGCUCUAGUUUAAAAAGUAAUGGACUUCCAUGAGGUGAAAUUUCUUCCAUUUGCAGCAACGAGGUCAGCAGCUUUGCUUCUGCAAUCUGCAUAUUAUGUUCUUCUUGGAUAGUUGAUUUCUGCUUAUGCAUUUUUAUGUUUAGGUACAGUUUUUUUUGUCAGAAUCAGAACAGUCAAGCAUUGAAUCUAGAGUCCUUGAUGGAGCACAAAACUUGGAAGUCUCUUCUGGAAACAACAAAGAUGAACAGGAACCUCGUGAAAAUGGAUCAGUCGUAGUGAAUAACAAUGGUGGACUUAACAGUAGAAAUGAAAGGAUUUUGAAUGGAAACGUAGAUAAGGAAGCACCUGAUGGUCAUUCCUCAGUAAGCAAACCUGCCCCAUCAGAUAGCCACAAAUUGACGGACCAAGAGAAUGAAAAUGGUGUGAUGUAGCGGAUGCAUGAAGGCAGACACAUCUAGUCAUUCACUCAUUCUACUGCUAUGAUACGCUCACUGAAAAUUCUGUCCAAGAUGGUCCUCAUUGGGAUCUGCUGUGUAGGCUCAACCGACAUAGCCUCCAUUGCAAUUUUCAGCCAUGCGACCCCCAUUCGUUGUCUGAUUGCAGGUCUACUAGAUUGCAAUCCUAUGAUGUCACAGAGAAUAUGUAUAGAUGAUUUUAGUUGUAUUGUUAAGUUGUACUGUGAAAAUAAUCUGAGAUUUUCACUUUGGAGCUUGUGAAAAUAAUUCACCAUUCUGUAAUGAUAUUGUCAGGUGAAAAUAAUCUGAGAUGUUGUUCCAGUUAUUGUCAAGUGCAA